Non-coding RNA from Teleopsis dalmanni, 72 nucleotides. The record is from the annotation of a RefSeq genome assembly. Lineage: Eukaryota; Metazoa; Arthropoda; Insecta; Diptera; Diopsidae.
GGACCGGUAGCUCAGUGGUAGAGCAGCUGACUCUUAAUCAGCGGGUCGAGGGUUCGAAACCCUCCCGGUUCA